GGUCUUUUAUAAGAAGCAUAAAAACUGGUCACAGCUGUUUUAGGGGAUUCCCACACUCUUUGGAAAGAGUUCUUUUACCUUUCCACCUCUAAAAACCUUCAGCUCCUGAGACAGGCAGCUCACAUCUUGACAUUUUUGUGCCUUAAAUCUUCUCUGUGUGUCAAAGCCUCUUCCUAGAUUCUGAACCCACUUUCAGAGAAUGUUUUGUGUCAAAUUCACACACAGUCUACACUGAGAGAAGCACUUGUACUAAGCUUAUUAUGAAACAGAGGGUCUGCCCGGUGAGGCAACCUGUCAGUACAUCUUUUGUGUUGAACACAGCAACGUACCCGCACACUCACAAUCGGGGUACCCUGGGAACAGAACCCAUCUACCUUUGCACUGGUGCCACCUGGCUGGCAGAGGACCAUGAAGUGUUUCAUGAUAUUACCAUCAAGUCUGAAAAGGUUUUGGACCUAUGUGUCAAAUGGCUCAUUCCCCAAAAGCAAUGGAACGUGCUGGAACAGUGACGGGAAGAGAAGCCCCAGAAACCCGAACAGAGGAAAUGAAGCGCCCGGAUCUGGCUCAUUCCAGGACAGUCUCAAAGCAUCAGCCGGAUUUUCCAGACAUGCCACCAAUCAGUGGGUCAAUAGGAGAUGCUUCCUCCAUCACCUUUAUACACUGAAGGGGGUUGCUCCCUGCAAGGGUCUGGGAGACACUGUGAGGCGCAAGGGAAAAUUAUCUUGGAUUUUUACAAACUUCUGUAUGAGGGAUACUUAGGGAAUAAGAGAAUGUGGGGGAAAAAAUGAUCAAAGUGUUUUGGGGAGGUAUCAGAAUGGUACAACGGAAUGAAUAAGGAAAUAAAUGUGUAGAUAACGUGCA
This 861-nucleotide long non-coding RNA is filed under the name Cyanistes caeruleus (blue tit). Its description in RNAcentral is "lncRNA (ENSCCEG00000019476.1)". Lineage: Eukaryota; Metazoa; Chordata; Aves; Passeriformes; Paridae. The record is from RNAcentral.